AGAGUUUGAUCCUGGCUCAGAACGAACGCUGGCGGCAGGCUUAACACAUGCAAGUCGAACGGGUGUAGCAAUACAUCAGUGGCAGACGGGUGAGUAACACGUGGGAACCUUCCUAGGGGUACGGAACAACUCAGGGAAACUUGAGCUAAUACCGUAUACGUCCGUGAGGAGAAAGAUUUAUCGCCCUUAGACGGGCCCGCGUAGGAUUAGCUAGUUGGUGAGGUAACGGCCCACCAAGGCGACGAUCCUUAGCUGAUCUGAGAGGAUGAUCAGCCACACUGGGACUGAGACACGGCCCAGACUCCUACGGGAGGCAGC
This 318-nucleotide ribosomal RNA is filed under the name uncultured bacterium. Its description in RNAcentral is "bacterial SSU rRNA". It matches the Rfam family "Bacterial small subunit ribosomal RNA", at positions 8 to 352 of the family's 1533-position model. The record is from RNAcentral.